Molecule: ribosomal RNA, 466 nt
Filed under: uncultured bacterium
Lineage: Bacteria
Description: partial 16S ribosomal RNA
Rfam family: Bacterial small subunit ribosomal RNA
Source: RNAcentral
GACGAACGCUGGCGGCGUGCUUAACACAUGCAAGUCGAACGGAAAGGCCCUGCUUGCAGGGUACUCGAGUGGCGAACGGGUGAGUAACACGUGGGUGAUCUGCCCUGCACUUCGGGAUAAGCCUGGGAAACUGGGUCUAAUACCGGAUAGGAGCCAUUUUUAGUGUGAUGGUUGGAAAGUUUUUUUCGGUGUAGGAUGAGCUCGCGGCCUAUCAGCUUGUUGGUGGGGUAAUGGCCUACCAAGGCGGCGACGGGUAGCCGGCCUGAGAGGGUGGACGGCCACAUUGGGACUGAGAUACGGCCCAGACUCCUACGGGAGGCAGCAGUGGGGAAUAUUGCACAAUGGGCGCAAGCCUGAUGCAGCGACGCCGCGUGGGGGAUGACGGCCUUCGGGUUGUAAACUCCCUUCGCUAGGGACGAAGCUUUUUGUGACGGUACCUAGAUAAGAAGCACCGGCUAACUACGUG